Molecule: non-coding RNA, 1299 nt
Organism: Camellia sinensis
Lineage: Eukaryota; Viridiplantae; Streptophyta; Magnoliopsida; Ericales; Theaceae
Source: RefSeq, a predicted model, not a curated record
UUAUACUGUAUUGAUCACAUAUCACUGCAUUUUCUCCACAGUUGUGGGUUUAUGCAUAUUUUUCGACUCUCGCCCCAGAACCUGUGGAGGAGCUUCUAUUGGCAGUCCCCUUCUCAUGGAGGUAUGACGGCCGGCUCCAACGUAGGACCCGCGAGAUUAUGUGGCAGCCAUGGGCAACGAUGUCUGCUGGGAUUCGAGACUAGUUCGCUGGAGCUUGGGCUACUUCCCACUUCUGAAUUCUACUCGAGGGCCCAGUCUGCUGAGCCUGGUUCCUGAGCGAGCGAUUCGUGCGCAAGAUUGUAGGCCUGCCUGACCUGAUCAUUCCGAUGGCACUGCCAGAAUCCAUGCAAUCAGCAGAUAGCAUAUCCAUUGAUGAGGUUAUUCAGUUUAUGGUGGGCUUGGAUGUUGACUUCUUCCAAGCAGAGGGAAACUAUGCGACCUUUAUUCAGACGUAGCUCAUGCCACCUUUGACAGACACUCGUGGAGGUGAGGAGGUGAGAGCUCCUGCUAUGCGAGAGGCGCCUAGGGUGACUCCGGCGACUAGGGUGACUAGGACGUCCAAGGCUCGUGGUAGAGGGGCUUCUCGGGGGUAACAGAGGAUCGGUUGGCCAGAGCUUCCGACCGCGCUGACAUGCUGGCGGCAUACUAGGGAUCCUUAGCAGGUCCCGAUUGAGCCUGCAGCGGUUGGGCACAAGCUUGCUGGGGUUCGAGUCCCGACUCAGGCAUCCAUCGAGUACAUAGGAGGCGCUCUUGAGCUAAUAGCCUAGUUGAUGGGGAUGGUACAGAGGAGCGAGACGAUGCUCGAUCUCCACGGCAUCCUAAUCCCACCCAUAGCGAUGGCACCAGCGGCAGCCGUAGCACCAGCAGUAUCUCCUCAAGCAACAGGGAGGAGAGAGAGACAUGCUCCAGCAAGCGACCGAGAUAGAGUUAGGGGCACCUAAGACGAGAGCGGUCCUUUAGAGCCUAUUCUGAGUGAUGAUGAUGCUGAGAUGAGCGACUCUAAGGAGGUAGUGAGUUAGCAUUCGGAGUCAUCUGAGAGUAGAGACAAUGUAGGCUUGGGUUCCGAGAGUGGAGGCGACACCAAGGCGAGCUCUGAGGUGGUGAGUGGAGAUGACACCGACUCGGGCUUUGGUUUAGGUUCAAACAGUGGCGCUGAUGGAGAUAGUGCCCUAAAGUCUUCUCCUCCGAGGAAGAGGACAAAGAGGGCCUCUCGAGCCUGAGGCAACCGGCGCCGAUUUUUUGUAUUUUUGCUUAGUUUCUUUUGUUUAUAGCAUUAGCACAUUGUAUAGCUUCAAACAA